Long non-coding RNA from Saccostrea cuccullata (small rock oyster), 807 nucleotides. RefSeq lists it as uncharacterized. NCBI's taxonomy places the organism in Eukaryota, Metazoa, Mollusca, Bivalvia, Ostreida, Ostreidae. The transcript has 3 exons. The record is from RefSeq and is a predicted model, not a curated record.
UGUCCAGAUAGUUGGGAUCCGAGUCCAUGUCAAAUUGGUUGAAUAAAAUGAGGCUAGGAUUCCUACACAAUUUCAAGAGUUGGCAUAGAAUACUGAAAAGUGAAGAGACAGCUAUAUUGGAGUUGCACAUAUCAUGUGUAAAGUUUGAUUUCUUGGCAGAGACCCAUGCAACCAUUUAUGAAGAGUUCAGAAGACUUCCUGGUCCACGAUGACUUUGCUGUUGUUCAUCAAAAAGUUCAGCUGACAAAUUUCCAUUCGUAACCUCAAAAAUGUGUUAUCCCUUUAAACUAAGAUAGUAUUGUCAAGUUAGCUAUCAAACCCAUUGCUUUUUUAACUUCUGUUAAAUCAUAAUAUACAUGUAGCUGAAAACAUUUUUUAUCAUGACUUUUAUAAAUUUUAUACAAUAGAUAGAUGAUCACUUGAAGACCUGUGUAAAAUUUUAAGCAGUGUGGUUUUUCUGUCAUCUGCGUCUAUCCAACAUUAUUGUUGCUGUAUAACAAAUUUAAAUUAUAAUAUUAUAUUGAUUUGCUUUCAUACUAGAAUAAAUGUGCAAGUGUGAUUAACCACAGUAGGAUAACUUAUGCAGUUGUAUCUUUUUAUCCGUAUUUGAAAUCCUAAUACAUUGUAAACAAAAUUGUGUUGUGUUUUCUUUCGUUUUUCAACAUUUAAAUGAAAAAAAAUUCACACCAUUUUUUGGUUUUAUUUUUAUUAUGGCCCCGACUCGACAAAUUUUGAUCUUUUAUUUUUAUUUUUAUUUCGUCCCCUCGACCCAACUUUUUCUUAAAAAUUCCCGUUAAACAGAAAAUA